Molecule: ribosomal RNA, 443 nt
Filed under: uncultured bacterium
Lineage: Bacteria
Description: partial 16S ribosomal RNA
Rfam family: Bacterial small subunit ribosomal RNA
Source: RNAcentral
CCUACGGGAGGCAGCAGUGGGGAAUAUUGGGCAAUGGAGGAAACUCUGACCCAGCAACGCCGCGUGAAUGAUGAAGGUCUUCGGAUUGUAAAGUUCUUUUCUAAGGGAAGAAGAAAGUGACGGUACCUUAGGAAUAAGCCUCGGCUAACUACGUGCCAGCAGCCGCGGUAAUACGUAGGAGGCAAGCGUUAUCCGGAAUGACUGGGCGUAAAGGGGGCGUAGGUGGUUUGACAAGUUGGUAGCGUAACUCCGGGGCUCAACCUCGGCACUACUACCAAAACUGUCGGACUUGAGUGCAGGAGGGGCGAAUGGAAUUCCUAGUGUAGCGGUGGAAUGCGUAGAUAUUAGGAGGAACACCAGUGGCGAAGGCGAUUUGCUGGACUGUAACUGACACUGAGGCACGAAAGCGUGGGGAGCAAACAGGAUUAGAUACCCCGGUAGUC